ACAUUUAUUUUAUUUACUGUAUGGUGUAGGUUUAUUACCCAUACAACAGUAUUUAUUUAAAAGGGUGGUGCGGGUUUAUCGUCCACGCCUUUGCUUUUAUUUAAAUGUAUGGAGCAGAAUUAGUGCCCAUACAAGCACGUUUACUUUACCGCACAUUUAAUUUUAUUUAAGGUAUGGUGCGGGAUUAACGUCCAUACAGCAAGCUAUUUAAUUUAUGAAUUUAAUUUACUGCACAUUUACAUUUAUUUAAAAGGGUGGUGCGGGUUUAUCGUCC
Molecule: long non-coding RNA, 274 nt
Filed under: Prunus persica (peach)
Lineage: Eukaryota; Viridiplantae; Streptophyta; Magnoliopsida; Rosales; Rosaceae
Description: long non-coding RNA (PPER_LNC001748)
Source: RNAcentral